AUUAUUCGUAUGAUCUUUAUUACAUUGUAGAUUUUAGAAAAAUUUUAUCAGAAUGGGUUACGGUAGGCUUCUCAGCAGCCACCACCAUAUAUUUGUUUGAGGAGCAUGAGAUACUCGCUUGGGAGUUUAACUCAACCUUACAAUCUGAUGAAAAUUUAGCCAACCAAACUGGUACAAAAGGGGUCCGGCCCACCGCAGCCAUCUCAAGAAAAAGAGAGAACAAAGUAUGGAU
This 232-nucleotide unclassified non-coding RNA is filed under the name Hevea brasiliensis (rubber tree). Lineage: Eukaryota; Viridiplantae; Streptophyta; Magnoliopsida; Malpighiales; Euphorbiaceae. The record is from RNAcentral.